CCUAGGGGGGCUGCAGUGGGGAAUAUUGCGCAAUGGGCGAAAGCCUGACGCAGCGACGCCGCGUGGGUGAUGAAGGCCUUCGGGUUGUAAAGCCCUGUCGGGUGGAACGAACGAUCUGGCGGCGAAUAACCGCCGGGUGUGACGGUACCACCGAAGGAAGCCCCGGCUAACUACGUGCCAGCAGCCGCGGUAAGACGUAGGGGGCGAGCGUUGUUCGGAUUUACUGGGCGUAAAGCGGGCGUAGGCGGCUGAAAUCCCCCGGCUUAACCGAGGUCCCGCAUUCGAUACUGGCUGGGUAGAGUCUAGGAGAGGAAAGCGGAAUUCCCAGUGUAGCGGUGAAAUGCGUAGAUAUUGGGAGGAACACCGGUGGCGAAGGCGGCUUUCCGGACUAGUACUGACGCUGAGGCGCGAAAGCUAGGGGAGCGAACGGGAUUAGAUACCCUAGUAGUC
RNAcentral lists this ribosomal RNA (450 nucleotides) under uncultured bacterium. RNAcentral's name for it is "partial 16S ribosomal RNA". It matches the Rfam family "Bacterial small subunit ribosomal RNA", at positions 338 to 795 of the family's 1533-position model. The record is from RNAcentral.